AGGUUUGGGCAGAGUUGUCCCUUGGGUAUAGUGAAUCGGGGUGACUACCUCGGGUCCUGCACUUUGGGGGGCCCCGCGCUUGGAUGAAAUCAUGGGGAGGUGAGAUUCUGAUAUAGAUAAAAAAGAUUUGUAAAUGUGUGUGAAUCCCUCCAAGCAAUUCUACCUGUGAAUUUUGGAUUGUGAUUUUAUCAAGAGUUAACCUUAAAAUCUACAGCCUGCUGUUAGAUAUCUUCAAACAAAAAAAGGUAAACUUACCUUCCAAAUGCAUUUAGGAGAGCAACUAUUUCUUGACGUGUGAGCUGAAAACCUUUUGACGGGCUAUUCUCGGGAAGGUUCUGAAUCUCUUUUUCAGAGAAUAAAAUCUUUAGAGCAGUUCCUAAGCCUUGAGUCUAAAAGAAAUUCAGUAUUUUUAAACCAUUAAUAAAACAGUCUAGUUCACCCUUGCAAAAUUGUCAAGAGAAAUUUACUUAUUCAGGCAUAACUCCAUCUAACAUACAACACUCUGCCUUCCCCUUCAACACCUGGACAUGCUCCCACAUGUACCAGUACACACUUAACAAUAUGCAUGCACUCCUCCAAUUACACACCAAGUUCAUUCUCUCUCUUUUACACAUACACCUCACCUUCAAAUUCAUGAAUUCUCUUCCCAUCACCAUCAAAUUUCAGUUCUUCCCUCUCCCUCCCAAAUUCAUGAUUUUUCUUCUCUGCUGAACCAAAUCUACUACCACAAAGCAGCAGUUCUUCAAGGUUGCUAAAGCCACCUGAGCCCCUCUCCUCUAAUCAGGCAUCCGCAUGGCUGCCUCAAAAACCUCUCCCCCUCAAUCAAACCAUUAGGCUCCUCACCUCCUGGCUGCUCCACUGUCAGUGUUACUACUUUAGCCUCUGCAGGGAAAGAGGGAGAGGUUUCUGCUUUAACUCCUUCCUUUGUGUGUAGAAAGUGGCUAUUAGAGAUUUUUGAAGUGCUUAGGUGCCAGUUAUCUUCUAUUCCCCCUUCCCCCCGCCACACACACACACACACACACACACACACACACACACUUACUUCUAUGGCCUUUGAGCAGGGAAUUGGACUAGAUGGCCUCCUGAGGUCUCUUCCAACCCUAGUAUUCUAUGAUAAGGACCCAUUGGAUCUGAACAGGAGGCAGUGGUUGGGGACAGUUUCAAGAGGAUGCUGCAGGACAGGAGAGGUGUGUGCCUGGCUUAAGUUGGCCUCUCAUGAGGAGAUAAAAGGAUAGUGGAAGCACAGAGGAGCCAGUGGGGGGGGGCGGGAUCUUGAGGAUUCAGCAGGUGUCAUUACAUUUGCUCCUCCACUUAUUCUGCUGCUGAGCUGAAGGAGGGUGAGUGGAGCUCCCUCCAUGCCUGAUGAUGUAAUGCCAGCAAUUGCUCUCACAGUAUUGGUUAUUCUCAGUUCACAUUUUUAAGACUAUUUCCAACACUCAGGGAUAGUAACUUUAAAUUUUGCUUUUAUUUAUGUUUAAGAUCUGCAGAAGUCAAGACAUUGGUAGUGUUAUCAACACUUGCAGUUUUAUUGUGAGUCUUGUAACAUUUGGCUUCUUUCUUAAAGCUGCAGUUCCUGAAGACUAAUGAAUACAUGAGAAUCUCAGCUUUCAUUUUAAAAAAGGUUCUAGCCCUAAUGGUUGCAGAGAGAAGUCUGAAAUCAUGAAGUGAGGACACGCUAAAGAUGCAGAAACUAAAAAGCAAACAGAGUGUCCAAAAAUAUUUGAAGUCUGAGGAUUCUUAAGCCAAUCUCAUCAUUUCUGAAUGCUUGAUACCUUUGGUUGCUAUCGGUAUUAAACCUGCUUGGCAUUUUAAGGCAAUUAAAAAGGUAAAAAAUUGCUUUUGCUGCUAACUGUUCCUAUUCUGGGUCUUAAAACCAAUUCUGCUUGUAUAAAUGAGCGGUUCAACUACCCCUGCUUUCUAAA
This is a long non-coding RNA of Dermochelys coriacea (leatherback sea turtle), 1922 nucleotides long. RefSeq lists it as uncharacterized. The transcript has 4 exons. Lineage: Eukaryota; Metazoa; Chordata; Testudines; Dermochelyidae. The record is from RefSeq and is a predicted model, not a curated record.